RNAcentral lists this ribosomal RNA (494 nucleotides) under uncultured bacterium. RNAcentral's name for it is "partial 16S ribosomal RNA". It matches the Rfam family "Bacterial small subunit ribosomal RNA", at positions 28 to 523 of the family's 1533-position model. The record is from RNAcentral.
GAUGAACGCUAGCGGCAGGCUUAACACAUGCAAGUCGAGGGGUAGAAGUCUUCGGACUUUGAGACCGGCGCACGGGUGCGUAACGCGUAUGCAAUCUGCCUUGUACAAAGGGAUAGCCCAGAGAAAUUUGGAUUAAUACCUUAUAGUAUAUAGAUGUGGCAUCACAAUUAUAUUAAAGAUUUAUCGGUACAAGAUGAGCAUGCGUCCCAUUAGCUAGUUGGUAUGGUAACGGCAUACCAAGGCAAUGAUGGGUAGGGGUCCUGAGAGGGAGAUCCCCCACACUGGUACUGAGACACGGACCAGACUCCUACGGGAGGCAGCGGUGAGGAAUAUUGGUCAAUGGGCGCAAGCCUGAACCAGCCAUGCCGCGUGCAGGAUGAAGCAUCUAUGGUGUGUAAGCUGCUUUUGUACGGGAAGAAACACCUCUUCGUGAAGAGGCUUGACGGUACCGUAAGAAUAAGGAUCGGCUAACUCCGUGCCAGCCGCCGCAGUAA